UCCGCGUUUCUAGCAGAACACAAAAGCAGACGACACGUCAACCGGGUAGUAGCAGAAAUACCUUUUAAAUCAAUUACACAAUGAGCACGUGAGUUACAUAUUUUUCCUCAAGUUUUCUUGCAUUUAACAAUUAAUUAUUUUCCUCAUUAUAAAGUGAACAACGGACUAUUAAUAAUUAUAUACCGUCUAAAAAGUUAUUAGUCAUUCUAACUAUAAUGUGACAUUAAUUUUCUUUUGUGUCAAUGAUUUCGGUGUUUUGAGUUUACAAUUUUGAAAUUGUCUGAGUUUAGCACUUUAUGUACUAAAAGUUUAUAAAUUAUAAAAUAAACAAUGCUUCACGACGAUACAAAAUCUUUAAAUGAAUAUCAUGCGAGAAAUAUUUUUCUAUCUUCUAUGAUUUCUGGGGCAUUUGCGGGAACAAUAUGCGACUUAGUAUUUUUUCCAAUAGAUACUUUGAAAACAAGAUUGCAAAGUCAACAUGGCUUUAUGAAAUCAGGAGGAUUUACACGCCUUUAUCAGGGAAUUAUACCUGUUAUGGUAGGAUCUGCACCAUCAGCUUCAAUUUUUUUUAUAACUUAUGAAGGUAUAAAGGAAUUUUUACAACCAAAUGUUCCCUAUAAAUAUCACUGGAUGGUGCAUAUGGGAGCUGCGGCCACUGGUGAAAUGGCUGCUUGUUUAAUUAGAGUACCUGUCGAAGUAAUUAAGCAAAGAAGACAAGCUUUAUUGAAAGAUAAGAUAAGUUCGUUAGGUUUGAAAACACUUUAUCGAGGAUAUGGCACAACGGUUCUUCGUGAUAUGCCAUUUGGUUUUACUCAAAUGCCCUUAUGGGAGUAUUUUAAGCUUCGCUAUAAGCGAUAUAUGAAGCGAGAAUGCACUCCUUUGGAAGGUGCUAUUUGUGGAGCAGCAUCUGUGGCUAUUUCCGCGACUGUCACAACACCAUUAGAUGUCGCAAAAACAAGAAUUAUGUUAGCAAGCACAAAUGCCGAUAAAGCGGAAGUGAAAAUUACAGCAAUGUUUCGAGAAAUUUAUCGUGAAAAUGGAGUUAGAGGAUUGUUUGCGGGUUUCUAUCCAAGAGUUUGUGGUUAUACGGUUGGAGCUAUUUUAUUUUUUGGAAUAUACGAACAAGCUAAACAAAGUUGUCAGACAAUAUUUCCAUAUACAACAUCUUCUCAAUGAAAAUUAUACAUAAUAGAAAAAAGAGAACAAUCAGUGACAGUUAACUGAUUUUCUUGUCCUAGUGAAUGGAAUUUGCAUUUUUGUACAAAAGAUAGAAAGAAUUUAUUUGGAAUCCAAAAAAUUAAAUUUUUUAUGUUCCAAAACGCAACUUUUUAUGGAAAUUCUGAUUGUGAUUUUUCCUAUUUACAAUAAUCGAAGAAUCUUCAAAUAUCAUUCGUCGGCACUUUUAUGGUAAAUAUGUACCUACUGCAUUCACAAUUAUUUCUACAUUCAAUCAGUUUUUCUUCGAUUUUUAUUA
Molecule: RNA transcript, 1474 nt
Organism: Leptopilina heterotoma
Lineage: Eukaryota; Metazoa; Arthropoda; Insecta; Hymenoptera; Figitidae
Gene name: S-adenosylmethionine mitochondrial carrier protein-like
Exons: 7
Source: RefSeq, a predicted model, not a curated record